CUUUUAUCCAGAGCGAUGGAGGGAUCGGCCCUGCGAAGUCGCAGCAACCCACAAAAAGCCUCUGCUCAUCACCAGAUGGCUUUUUGCAAGGUGCUAAUUCCGGCCCGACUGCUGAACG
RNAcentral lists this non-coding RNA (118 nucleotides) under Meiothermus ruber. RNAcentral's name for it is "SAM-I sequence". It matches the Rfam family "SAM riboswitch aptamer (S box leader)", at positions 1 to 95 of the family's 108-position model. From Rfam's summary of the family: The SAM riboswitch is found upstream of a number of genes which code for proteins involved in methionine or cysteine biosynthesis in Gram-positive bacteria. Lineage: Bacteria; Thermotogati; Deinococcota; Deinococci; Thermales; Thermaceae. The record is from RNAcentral.